AUGACUCUCGGCAACGGAUAUCUCGGCUUUAGCAUCGAUGAAGAACAUAGUGAAAUGCGAUAUCUUGUGUGAAUUGCAGAAUCCCGUGAACCAUCGAGUCUUUGAAUGCAAGUUGUGCCCGAGGCCACCCGGUCAAGGGCAUGCCUGCCUGGGCGUCAUGA
This 161-nucleotide ribosomal RNA is filed under the name Areca macrocalyx. RNAcentral's name for it is "5.8S rRNA". It matches the Rfam family "5.8S ribosomal RNA". Rfam says of the family: 5.8S ribosomal RNA (5.8S rRNA) is a component of the large subunit of the eukaryotic ribosome. The record is from RNAcentral. Lineage: Eukaryota; Viridiplantae; Streptophyta; Magnoliopsida; Arecales; Arecaceae.